GACGAACGCUGGCGGCGUGCUUAACACAUGCAAGUCGAACGGAAAGGCCUCUUUCGGGGGGUACUCGAGUGGCGAACGGGUGAGUAACACGUGAGUAACCUGCCCUUGACUUUGGGAUAACUUCAGGAAACUGGGGCUAAUACCGGAUAGAAUCUCCCGCUGCAUGGUUGGGGCUGGAAAGUUUCGGCGGUUGGGGAUGGACUCGCGGCAUCUCAGCUUGUUGGUGGGGUAGUGGCUUACCAAGGGUUUGACGGGUAGCCGGCCUGAGAGGGUGAACGGCCACAUUGGGACUGAGAGACGGCCCAGACUCCUACGGGAGGCAGCAGUGGGGAAUAUUGCACAAUGGGUGGAAGCCUGAUGCAGCAACGCCGUGUGCGGGAUGACGGCCUUCGGGUUGUAAACCGCUUUCGCUCAUGACGAAGCUUUGUGUGACGGUAGUGGGUAAAGAAGCACCGGCUAACUACGUG
RNAcentral lists this ribosomal RNA (467 nucleotides) under uncultured bacterium. RNAcentral describes it as "partial 16S ribosomal RNA". It matches the Rfam family "Bacterial small subunit ribosomal RNA", at positions 28 to 507 of the family's 1533-position model. The record is from RNAcentral.